Folsomia candida is the source of this 1044-nucleotide long non-coding RNA. RefSeq lists it as uncharacterized. Lineage: Eukaryota; Metazoa; Arthropoda; Collembola; Entomobryomorpha; Isotomidae. The transcript has 3 exons. The record is from RefSeq and is a predicted model, not a curated record.
GCUUUAACAGAUCGGCCAAAUAACUGUGUGCAGUUUCAGCAUGAGAAAAAGCUGAUGCAAUUCAAUCACCACCACAUGGUUUCCUUUGCGUGGCAAAGAAAAAUACAGUUCCAGUCCGAUCGAUUUUUAGCCAGCUUAAAUUUCUUCAAUUAAUUAUUUAAAAAAGUUACUUGCAAUUAAACAGUGUACCCCUCGGCAGUACAUGCCUCCACGUGUCCCUGCCUUCAAAUGAAGUGACCCAGCCGUGGGGGUCACCACCACCAAGGACACUGAAAAUAACCUGUUGUAAAUAUCCAAGGUGUGCUAAAACAAAACAUAAAAAUCCGGAAGCUCAGUUUUAUCAAUUUCCAUCCCAGCCAGACAGAUUCAAGAAGUGGUGUGAGUAUUUGGAUCUCGAUUGUCAAAAUGUUCCCCCCGUCUCCAUGAUUUGCGACCUACAUUUUAAGGAUGAUCAGUUUAACAAUUCUAAGAAGACUAAAACCAUCCGCCCUUCCAUCAAGAUUUUUUGUGUCGCAGGAGCAAUUAUUAACAGUUUCUACACCCAGUGAAAUUAUCCGACCUAGUCCCAGUAUUAAAUUCAUCCCUAUUUUACCAAAAGAAGUAACAUCAAUUGCCGUGUCACCGCCGUCGUUGGACGUGUCGCAGCCGAAAAUUAGUGGAAGCUUCGAGUCGCCUUGCUCCCCAUCGUCAUCCGUAUCUAGUCCUCGACCUCAAUCCAACAUUUCGUCACCUGAAACCAGUCCAAGUUCAACCACGGACAACAAAAAAAGGAUUCGCCAACUGCAACAGAAACUUCGUCGACCGAAGGUAAAAGUUCAGCCAGAAAGGAUUAUGGAAAGUCUGAAUGAAGUUAUGAAUGAUGCAUACAGGACCAGUAGUAUUAACGGGCAAAGACGCUUCACAGGAUUGAUUUAGAAGUAGCCCAAAACUAUUUUUAUUGAAUUUAACUGCAAAUCCAGACAUUCCUUGUAUUGCUCGGUUUGUGAAUGUCAUGUCCAUAUAUAUUUUACUAUUUCUGAAAUAAACGUACGAAAUGAGUGAAAA